CUCAGAUUGAACGCUGGCGGCAGGCUUAACACAUGCAAGUCGAGCGGUAACAUUUCUAGCUUGCUAGAAGAUGACGAGCGGCGGACGGGUGAGUAAUGCUUGGGAAUAUGCCUUUACGUGGGGGACAACAGUUGGAAACGACUGCUAAUACCGCAUAAUGUCUUCGGACCAAAGGAGGGGACUCUUCGGAGCCUUUCGCGUAAAGAUUAGCGCAAGUGGGAUUAGCUAGUUGGUGCGGUAAUGGCUCACCAAGGCGACGAUCCCUAGCUGGUUUGAGAGGAUGAUCAGCCACACUGGGACUGAGACACGGCCCAGACUCCUACGGGAGGCAGCAGUGGGGAAUAUUGCACAAUGGGCGAAAGCCUGAUGCAGCCAUGCCGCGUGUGUGAAGAAGGCCUUCGGGUUGUAAAGCACUUUCAGUCGUGAGGAAGGGGUAGUAAUUAAUACUUGCUAUCUUUGACGUUAGCGACAGAAGAAGGACCGGCUAACUCCGUGCCAGCAGCCGCGGUAAUAC
RNAcentral lists this ribosomal RNA (514 nucleotides) under uncultured marine bacterium. RNAcentral describes it as "bacterial SSU rRNA". It matches the Rfam family "Bacterial small subunit ribosomal RNA", at positions 23 to 526 of the family's 1533-position model. The record is from RNAcentral.